Molecule: transfer RNA, 62 nt
Filed under: Stegodyphus mimosarum
Lineage: Eukaryota; Metazoa; Arthropoda; Arachnida; Araneae; Eresidae
Rfam family: tRNA
About the family: Transfer RNA (tRNA) molecules are approximately 80 nucleotides in length.
Source: Rfam by way of RNAcentral
UCGUGGUGUAACGGUAGCACACUCGGCGCGUAUUCGAGAGGUCCAGGUUCAAAUCCCGGCGA